UAUUGUUCUAACUGUAGAAGGCUUUGGGG
This 29-nucleotide non-coding RNA is filed under the name Rattus norvegicus (Norway rat). The record is from RNAcentral. Lineage: Eukaryota; Metazoa; Chordata; Mammalia; Rodentia; Muridae.